AUACGUAGGUGGCAAGCGUUGUCCGGAAUUAUUGGGCGUAAAGCGCGCGCAGGCGGUCCUUUAAGUCUGAUGUGAAAUCCCACGGCUCAACCGUGGAUGGUCAUUGGAAACUGGAGGACUUGAGUACAGAAGAGGAGAGUGGAAUUCCACGUGUAGCGGUGAAAUGCGUAGAGAUGUGGAGGAACACCAGUGGCGAAGGCGACUCUCUGGUCUGUAACUGACGCUGAGGCGCGAAAGCGUGGGUAGCGAACAGGAUUAGAUACCCUGGUAGUCCACGCCGUAAACGAUGAGUGCUAAGUGUUAGAGGGUUUCCGCCCUUUAGUGCUGGAGUAAACGCAUUAAGCACUCCGCCUGGGGAGUACGGCCGCAAGGCUGAA
Molecule: ribosomal RNA, 377 nt
Filed under: uncultured bacterium
Lineage: Bacteria
Description: bacterial SSU rRNA
Rfam family: Bacterial small subunit ribosomal RNA
Source: RNAcentral